UACGUAGGGGGCAAGCGUUAUCCGGAUUUACUGGGUGUAAAGGGAGCGUAGACGGUUGUGUAAGUCUGAAGUGAAAUCCCCCGGCUCAACCGGGGAACUGCUUUGGAAACUAUACGACUAGAGUGCAGGAGAGGUAAGUGGAAUUCCUAGUGUAGCGGUGAAAUGCGUAGAUAUUAGGAGGAACACCAGUGGCGAAGGCGGCUUACUGGACUGUAACUGACGUUGAGGCUCGAAAGCGUGGGGAGCAAAC
Molecule: ribosomal RNA, 250 nt
Filed under: uncultured prokaryote
Description: partial 16S ribosomal RNA
Rfam family: Bacterial small subunit ribosomal RNA
Source: RNAcentral